AUUGAACGUUGGCGGCAGGCCUCAUGCAUGCAAGUCGAGCGGUAACAGCAGGAGCUUGCUCCUGGCUGACGAGCGGCGGACGGGUGAGUAACGCGUAGGAAUCUACCUAGUAGUGGGGGACAACCCGGGGAAACUCGGGCUAAUACCGCAUACGCUCUUAGGAGGAAAGCGGGGGAUCUUCGGACCUCGCGCUAUUAGAGGAGCCUGCGUCGGAUUAGCUAGUUGGUGAGGUAAAGGCUCACCAAGGCGACGAUCCGUAGCUGGUCUGAGAGGACGAUCAGCCACACUGGAACUGAGACACGGUCCAGACUCCUACGGGAGGCAGCAGCAGGGAAUCUUGGACAAUGGGCGCAAGCCUGAUCCAGCCAUGCCGCGUGUGUGAAGAAGGCCCUAGGGUUGUAAAGCACUUUCAGUGGUGAAGAAACGCUUGAGGUUAAUACCCUCGAGUACUGACGUUAACCACAGAAGAAGCACCGGCUAACUCCGUG
RNAcentral lists this ribosomal RNA (488 nucleotides) under uncultured bacterium. Its description in RNAcentral is "bacterial SSU rRNA". It matches the Rfam family "Bacterial small subunit ribosomal RNA", at positions 30 to 507 of the family's 1533-position model. The record is from RNAcentral.